GACGAACGCUGGCGGCGGGCUUAACACAUGCAAGUCGAACGGAAAGGCCCUGCUUUUGUGGGGUGCUCGAGUGGCGAACGGGUGAGUAACACGUGAGUAACCUGCCCUUGACUUUGGGAUAACUUCAGGAAACUGGGGCUAAUACCGGAUAGGAGCUCCUGCUGCAUGGUGGGGGUGGGAAAGUUUAGGCGGUUGGGGAUGGACUCGCGGCUUAUCAGCUUGUUGGUUGGGUAGUGGCUUACCAAGGCUUGGACGGGUAGCCGGCCUGAGAGGGUGACCGGCGACAUUGGGACUGAGAUACGGACCAGAGUCGUACGGGAGGCAGCAGUGGGGAAUAUUGUCCAAUGGGCGGAAGCCUGAUGCAGAAACGCCGCGUGCGGGAUGACGGCCUUCGGGUUGUAAAAAGCUUUCGCCUGUGACGAAGCGUGAGUGACGGUAAUGGGUAAAGAAGCACCGGCUAACUACGUG
RNAcentral lists this ribosomal RNA (468 nucleotides) under uncultured bacterium. RNAcentral describes it as "partial 16S ribosomal RNA". It matches the Rfam family "Bacterial small subunit ribosomal RNA", at positions 28 to 507 of the family's 1533-position model. The record is from RNAcentral.